Molecule: unclassified non-coding RNA, 3116 nt
Filed under: Hevea brasiliensis (rubber tree)
Lineage: Eukaryota; Viridiplantae; Streptophyta; Magnoliopsida; Malpighiales; Euphorbiaceae
Source: RNAcentral
AUCAAAGUUGUCAUUUACUGAAAAAACACGUGUGUCAGCAGGCAACAAACCUCGUACUUGAGUAAUUGUGUACAUUGAACAAACUAAAUGUGCUCAUGAAGCAAACUAUGUAAACACCCAGCCAUCAAAUUAGAGGCUCAAUCUAUUGCAUUGUCAUCUAUCCUAUUUUUUGUUGGCACGUUUUCCUCCCCACUUUUAACAACAGGACAUCCGCGUUGGGAGUAUAGGCUGAUUAUGAAGACUUCAUAGUCCACUUUGUUCAGUGCUUCUCUUGCUUGGCAUCAUCAAUGUAGAACAUAAGCAGCAAAAUAACCAGAUUUCAACACAUACAAAUGAGCAACAUUGUAAUCAAACCAUCAGAGAUCAUGAAACCUCAACACAGAUUACAUGUUCAAUAUAAUAAUUGAGACAGUUCAUGAAAUAUGCCUUUGUCCCAACAUAAAAUGUUAUAAACAUGCCACCCGGUAUAGGCAAUCCUACAAGACAAAUAUUGCACCAAAUAUGCAGCUGCAUGUGUAUACCAAUAUUGGAAAUUAGGGUGAUAUAGGAGAUAUAGGAGCAUGGUGUUAAUUUACCUUUUCUUGUAAGAAAUUGUGAAAUAAACCAAUUAAUGCCUGAUGGUAAGGUUUGCAACCAUUAGACAUGUGAUGGUGACAGCACCAACAACAGCACUAAAUUCUCGAAAAAGAAGCUCCCCAACAGUACUCUGCCUGAGAUUUGAGAACAUAUCAUAUAUUAGGAAAUAAAGAGAUUAGAUUGCAAGCAGAGUUCAAAUUUAGUGCCAUAUUAUAAAAAUCAGAGUAUUGGAAAGUUAUCGAUAGACCGCCUGUAAUCCAUUUGCCACUGAUUUCACCACCAUUUCUGGUAUAAAGAAUAAAUAUGUCAACCAUGCCCAUGAAAGAAGUUUCCACUCUAGAUCAUGCCAGACAGCAACAAAUGUGAAUAUAACCCAUAUAUUGAGUAGCUUUCUAUGCGUACCUCCAAGAGGAAUAUACAUGUACCUCACAAGCCAUUUAUUGUAUGAAGCAUGCCAAUUUUUCCAUAAAUUCUACAAGUCGUAGCAGUUAUUGAUAGACCUUGGCAUGUUUUCUGGGGCCUCGAUGUCACAAACCUAAAAUAACAAUGUUAUUAAAAAUAACUUUCUUCUGUGUUUAAUUGGAUAGUAAAAGACAAAAGCUUAAAGCUUAUUACAAGUUAUGAUAAAAUUGUAGAUACACUGUCCAAAAAAUUAGACUAAACUGCCUAGGGACUUAGACAAAGAUAUAUUUCAAGUCCAAUGGGGGAAUGAGGGAAAAAUUGUAACUCAAUGAGCAUACAAGUGACCAGAACUGGAAAUAGCACCAAAUGAGGUAAAACUUUAGCCACAUGAAGUUCAAGACCUCAGAAGAAGGAAGAGUUCAAAGUUGAGUACAGAUGGUUUGUCUCAACAACACAAGCCUGGAUAGUUUGUCGUAAGCUCAGUCUCUCAUAUCCUCUGAUGAAUAUGUCCACUGGUGAUAACAAUUUCCACAGGCCACUGAGUUGUGAAAAAAUAAAUGUAAUUAAUUCUAAAUUUAGAAGGGACAGAGAGAUUUAAUGCAUGCCAUAUUCUUGAGUUGCAAAGACUCUAACCUGAUUGCAAAAGCAUUAUAGUGAAACAAAUGUGUCAAAACUUCUAUUAGGAAAAAGCUGAAUAUCCAACCUAACCCAUACCAAGACACAUCUUGGGCUGCAUAAUUAUUCUGAGGCAUGUCUAACUGUGAGACAUAGGCAUUGAAGCUUAUAAUUGGCCCAGCAAUAUAAAGGGGAGCAUAUACCAAAUAAGAAAGGUCUAUGUUGAAGGAGAAAUUGUCAUUUGAGCCACUUCUCUCCUGGGUAAAAUGAAUGAAAUUAUUAACUACUUAAAAAAAAAGGAAUCCUUCUGAUGGCCCCAACAAAUGAGCAGUUAAUACUAAGUGGUUAGCUCAUGCUUAAGAAGAAACUAACCUGUUAAAAUUGGUAGCAUGUUUUUCCAGACUUACAGAUAUCGCAACGUUGUAUGUGUCUCUAAGAUCAUUGGUUCAAUAAAAUAUCAGCACAACUAGCUUCUGUUAGCACAAUUAUUUAAAAUAUAAUCUCAAAUGCAAACAAUGAAGUCAAAAUAUGUAGAUAUAAUACUGUAUGCUGUCAAGAAGCGAGGGAAAAAUAAAAAGUGCAGCUGAUUGGGGCAGGUCAUGGUUGAUUUUAAGUCCCAAGACAAGUAAAAAUGAAACAAGUUGAUGAUGAUGCAUCGUGUACAGAACCUUAAGUAGCAAAGGACACAAAUAUUCAACACCGGAAUUGAAAUUCAAAAGUUGCAUUAAUAGAAUCCCCAUUCCUACACAAAAAUACAUUUUAUGUGCAGAGAAUUUUUAUUUAAGCAACAAGCAAAGCUGGUAGGAAAAUGUUUGGAUUUGGAGCAUUUUGUUUAUCAUUUGUGAAUUCAGGAGUUGGUUAAAAAGUUGGGGGCAUGUUUUUCUUAUCCGGAGUACUUACUAUUUUAUGCAAAGUAUUUACCCUUUUUAGACAAAGUAGUCUUAAUAGGUAUGGGACUGGGUGUUGUAUACGUAUCAGUUGGGAGCCCCAGCAAUGUCUAUGCAUAAGAAAAGCAGAAAGCUUAACAUUACUUCUAGAUCAAUUGUUUCAAAUAUCCAUUUUAAACAUUACUUGAAGUUCAUAGUUCUGUUAUGCUUUAAACAAGCUUAAGUAAUUAACAGUUUUAUUGUAGUUUCUGCAUCAAAUUUCUGAGGCUGCUAAUAUCAUUCCAUGUCCUUUAGGUGUAGUGGUGGUACUAAGUGUGCACUUGAUUGGUUGUCUUUUAAAAUCAUACGUGUUACAAUGUAUUUCAAAGGAGCAUCAUUCAUACUUCACAAAUUGUGCUUGUUGAGUAACUUUAUUUCAAAUAUUUAGUUGAAUUUCUUUGUCUGAUAGAACUAAUAUUUAAGCCUUGAAUAUGUCAUAAAGAUUAAUGUUGGCAUUUCAGAUGUUGCUACCUCGGUUUUUCUGAUCCAUUAACAAGCAUAUAUAACUAGCUUGGUUGUCUGCUUCUGCAUUAUGACUCAUCAAUCUCUCUCAGGUAGAAAAUCUUACUCGUGAAGCCCAGCUUCAGGAAGUUGAGC